RNAcentral lists this ribosomal RNA (305 nucleotides) under uncultured bacterium. RNAcentral describes it as "bacterial SSU rRNA". It matches the Rfam family "Bacterial small subunit ribosomal RNA", at positions 337 to 634 of the family's 1533-position model. The record is from RNAcentral.
GCCUACGGGGGGCAGCAGUGGGGAAUAUUGCGCAAUGGGCGAAAGCCUGACGCAGCGACGCCGCGUGAGGGAUGAAGGUCUUCGGAUCGUAAACCUCUGUCAGCAGGGAAGAACGGUCACUGUGCUAAUCAGCAGCGAAUUGACGGUACCUGCAAAGGAAACACCGGCUAACUCCGUGCCAGCAGCCGCGGUAAUACGGAGGGUGCGAGCGUUAAUCGGAAUUACUGGGCGUAAAGCGCUCGUAGGCGGUAUGUCAAGUCAAGGGUGAAAUCCCCGCGCUCAACGUGGGAACUGCCUUUGAAACU